RNAcentral lists this transfer RNA (71 nucleotides) under Ostorhinchus rueppellii (gobbleguts). RNAcentral's name for it is "tRNA-Val". It matches the Rfam family "tRNA". Rfam says of the family: Transfer RNA (tRNA) molecules are approximately 80 nucleotides in length. Their secondary structure includes four short double-helical elements and three loops (D, anti-codon, and T loops). The record is from RNAcentral. Lineage: Eukaryota; Metazoa; Chordata; Actinopteri; Kurtiformes; Apogonidae.
CAGAACAUAGCUUAAUAGAAGAGCAUCCCCCUUACACUGAGAAGACAUUCGUGCGAAUCGAAUUGUUCUGA